Long non-coding RNA from Copidosoma floridanum, 476 nucleotides. NCBI's taxonomy places the organism in Eukaryota, Metazoa, Arthropoda, Insecta, Hymenoptera, Encyrtidae. The record is from RefSeq and is a predicted model, not a curated record.
GGCCGAGCUUUCGUAAUAGAGUAACUACUCAAACCCACCGACGCUUUACAUACGUCAUAGUUGUAUUACUUCCGUGAAGCAACAGCUUUCUUACUACUCGGCAGUCGCAUGACUCGCGUAACGCUGGAAGCCCACCUCCAGGAGGCAAAUUGGGUAUACUCUGGUCAAGAAGCAUCUGAAGAAGUGUCAUGAACUUAAAGUCCUUUUUGCCUUCUUCACGGGAAAUUAUAUCUGUUGAAAAAAAAAGUUGAUAUCAAAAUACAAGAGCACCAACAAAAAACCACUUGACAACAAAGGAUGGUUAUUUAUUCGCGGAUUCAUAUGCUUGUCAGGUGCGUUCGCGAACACGUGAUCGCGCUGAUCGCCUAUUAAUGCAACAGCACAGAACUCUAAGUCGUCGGUGAUGAGCAACCUGGAGUGUAUGAAAUCGCAGAGAUCCUCGUUGGUCAUAACGUCCCAGAUGCCAUCACACGCCA